This 103-nucleotide ribosomal RNA is filed under the name Actinomadura syzygii. Lineage: Bacteria; Bacillati; Actinomycetota; Actinomycetes; Streptosporangiales; Thermomonosporaceae. The record is from RNAcentral.
CGGAGGGGAAACACCCGGUCCCAUCCCGAACCCGGAAGUUAAGCCCUUCAGCGCCGAUGGUACUGCAUGGGAGACUGUGUGGGAGAGUAGGACACCGCCGGAC